ACCAAUGCAUGGACAGUUUAAACCCCUAUAGUUAAACCAGCACCAGGUACCUCCUGGCCCACAGGUUCCCUUUACCCAUGCUCAGUGAAAAUAUAUUCAGCAAAGAUGCACAAUAAUUUUAUCUGGAAAGAGUUUUAUUAAAACGUUGCUAUUUAAAGAGGCUCUGUCACAUCUGAGAUGAGAGUAUAUUUGAAUCAAGCACAUAAAAGCAAAUGUUUUAUUUUUUUAUACUCUAU
Molecule: non-coding RNA, 236 nt
Organism: Pelobates cultripes (western spadefoot toad)
Lineage: Eukaryota; Metazoa; Chordata; Amphibia; Anura; Pelobatidae
Source: the annotation of a GenBank genome assembly